Non-coding RNA from Schizosaccharomyces pombe (fission yeast), 3489 nucleotides. Lineage: Eukaryota; Fungi; Ascomycota; Schizosaccharomycetes; Schizosaccharomycetales; Schizosaccharomycetaceae. The record is from the annotation of a GenBank genome assembly.
UUACUCAGUGUUGUUGGUCAUAGUGUGUCAAAUAGUUGGAUUGCCAUUCCUUGCCUUUUUGCAAAACAAAAUGAUUAAUAAUUUCGUGAGAUCUCAAAAAAUAUCAUCAACAUUAGGCCAUUCAAAUUCCUUUCCGGCCAAAUGAGCUUCACCAGCUUCCUCUCUUAUUUUCCAAUAUUCGUUGUUAAACUGCCAAUAGUCUUCACCAGUAACGGGAUGCUUAGCCGCCGAAAACCACCUUGGAGACCAUGGUGGCAUUUCGCCUUGCUCACGCAUACGGCGUUUUUUCCUCUGCUUUUCUUCAAGGCGGUUUUUCUCAGAUGCUGCUAAGUCAUAUUGUCCAUUUUCCAUUGCUCUUUGGUCAGGUCGCAAACGCGUAUCAGUGGGAGGAAGCCAGGGUUUUAACUGUGGAGUGAGCGCAUUAAGUGAAAUUGCGAAAGGGGUUAAAUUGAAAGGACGAGGCGGUCUUUCAUGAUUUUGCCAUAGCAGAAUCUUAUUUCCAUUUGGCUGCUGACCAAAAAUUUUAUCAUUCCAGUGUCCGUUAACCAUCCAUUUAGGAGUAUCAUCCGUCGAUUGUACACUUCCUUUAACUUCAUGGGCAUUUGUACCUCUCCAUCCACGAGGUUUGAAAUCAAGGACACAAUUGAUUCCACUGCUGUGGUUUACAAUAUGCAUUUGGCCAUAGUUAUCCACCGAUGGGCUUCCAAGAAUAAUCCCUACGACAGAUGAGGUGACCUUUUUCCAAGUAUACAAUUCAACUUCCCCAGAAGGAUGUCUUAAUUCCAAAAACCAUGUACCAAGGGGUGAGAUAUCAAAACUUUUACCAUAGAAUUUCGACUUAACACUUGAUUCUCCGUAAUAUUUCCAGUUCGCGGAUUCCGAAUAAGCAGCUCCAACAGGAGGAUGGUGACUAACUUGUUCCACAAUAAACCUGAAUCCACGUUGAGGGUGACAAAAUUCAUAUGUUUCUCCUAACAAAGGAUUGAAUGGUUUGGCAACGCGGUUUAAAGUACUGGCAUAUUCCGAGGCAGCAAAUGCAGCGACGUAAAGAAUGCGUUGGUAUGGAUCUUUAUUGUGUGAAGCUUGAUCUAAUAAUUCAGUAUAUUCCAUGUCUUCAGCUACUCGCUGCAACAAACUUGUGGGUUCAUUGAAGCUUACUGGCAAAGUCAUUUUGGUCAUGUCCUUUCCAAUCAUUCCUUUAAGGAUUCCCCAAAGACUGAUUUUCGGACGAUCGUCAUUAACAUCGAGAUUCUCUCUCGUAGGUGCCUCAUAUCCAUGAAAAGAAACUGCUAUUUGUUUAGCAAGCUGCAUAGUUUUCUCGUCUAAUGACGGCUUUGAAGCAUGUGUUAGUUCGGAUGACACAGAUUUCUUGUCCGCGUCAGGCUUCAAAUGACUAUCAUUAGAAACUUUGGUAGAAGCAGUAGAGGCAUUAUCUGGAAUGGAUGCUUCUUUGGGAGCCUCUUUUGCCUGCGUGUCGUCAGUAUUCCGAGAAAGCUGAGACGCAUUGGAAGGUUUUGCUUGAUGACUUACAGGUUUCUCAGAUACUUCUUUAGCUUUAGGAGCAGAUACAUCGCUUUGAAUAGAUUUUUGGACUUCCACAGGUUGUUGAUGUUGGGUGGACUGUUUACUUUCACUACUUUGCUGACUAGGUAAGGAUUCUUGACGCAGUUGUUGGCCCCCAGAAGGUUGCUUACUAGGGAUAGAUUCUUUGCGGAGAUGCUUAGUUUCAGUAGUUUGUUGACUGGGUAAGGAUUCUUGACGCGCGUGUUGGCCUUCAGUAGGUUGCUUACUAGGAAUAGAUUCUUUGCGGAGAUGCUUAGUUUCAGUAGUUUGUUGACUGGGUAAGGAUUCUUGACGCGUGUGUUGGCCUUCAGUAGGUUGCUUACUAGGAGUAGAUUCUUUGCGGAGAUGCUUAGUUUCAGUAGUUUGUUGACUGGGUAAGGAUUCUUGACGCGCGUGUUGGCCUUCAGUAGGUUGCUUGCUAGGGAUAGAUUCCUUACGAUGGUGGUUGCUCACGGUAGAUUGUUGACUAGGUAAUGAUUCCUUGCCAAGGUGUUGUUCGUCAGAAGGUUGUUUGCUAGGGAUAGAUCCAUUGUUAUCUCUUCUUUCAGUAAAUUCUUCUGUUUGAUCGGUCAACGUUGUUUUUCGGAUGUCCGCUAUGUUUUGUUUCGUUUCUGGAGAUGACACAUCAGUCGUUGUUUUAAGAGAAGGUUGUGGCUUAUGUUCAGAAGAAAAUGAUGGUUCUCUAAUUUCAUGAACAUUAUUAGCUGUCUGACUAGGCUCUGCUUUGUUUGCAUGGUUAUUAUCAUGAGCGUCAACAUCGAAAAACUCAUCUUUCGUAUUAGUUUCUUCUUCGUCAUCAGUAAAAUCGGUAGAAUACGAUGUUGAAGACAUAGCACCAUCAUCAUAGUGAAUAUGAAGCUUGUUGUCUUUAUCACUUGGUCUUUUCUUAAGUGAAGCAGCCAGUCUACGGAAAGCUCUCUUAGUCCGCCGACGAUGAGCUUCGCUUCUAUGAUAGCGCUCUUCUAUCUGGUCUUGUUCUUCAACGACAGUCUUUAAGUUUUCGGCCCAAAGAGCAUUAAUUGCCUUGGCAUUAUCAAGCUUUCGCUUAUAAUAAUGUUCAGCUUGACGUUGUAAAUCAAGCAUUUCCAAAACAGUUUUAUGCAACGUAUUAAACGAAUUUGAAAUACCGUCGAAAACUUGAGACAAGGAAGGAUCUUUUUUAACUUUUUCAGUUUGCAUCGCAGAAUCUAUUAGUUUAUGGAGAGUCUCCACCUGAAGUUUGGCAAUAUUUACAUUAAAUUCAAAAUUCUCACGUGAAGGUAAUUGAGCACGAUCGAUAUCUGACUCAUUAUCAUCCCAGCCCGAAUUUCCAGAAGCAUUGGAUUGGGUAAAUUUAUGAGCCGCUGGUGCCAAGUCAUGUGUUCCGAAAGAAGCGUUAUCAGCCGUCACAUUAGGCUUAUUAGCUUCUUCAUCAUUUUCGAUGGCUGAAGAAAUAGCAGCAAUCCAUUUUUUAGCUUCCACAGGAGAAUUAGCUUUAACACUGUAGCGCACAGAUCCCUUACCAAUUACUUGAAAGACGGUUGGUUGUUUGGGAUCGUGAACUAAUCUGGCAAGCUUAAGAUUGAUGGAACCACGGCAUGCAGAGGAAGCAUCAUCUUGAUUUUUGUAAUAGGAUAAGACUCCAUUGUUUAAGGUAAACCAACGAAGCUUGUAUCCAGAUUUGUAAUUCGUCCACUUCUUUAGAUAACCAGACAUAUGUUGAGGCACUGCAGGGGCAGAACUAGAGUCUCUGUUUCCAGAGUAUGAACGCAAUAAACUGCGCAUAUUUUCAUCUUUGGUGUAAUCCGUUGGCAACUUACCAAAUUUAUCACGACGAUAAGGAUCGGCUCCGUUGUCAAGUAGCCAUUUCACAAGUUCGGCAUCCUUUGCUUUUGUAGCGACGUGUAGGUAAGUCUGUCCUGUUUUUAUAUCAACUUCAUUCAAAUC